CCUACGGGUGGCAGCAGUGAGGAAUAUUGGUCAAUGGACGAGAGUCUGAACCAGCCAAGUCGCGUGAAGGAUGACUGCUCUAUGGGUUGUAAACUUCUUUUAUAAAGGAAUAAAACGCGGCACGUGUGCCUUUUUGCAAGUACUUUAUGAAUAAGGAUCGGCUAACUCCGUGCCAGCAGCCGCGGUAAUACGGAGGAUCCGAGCGUUAUCCGGAUUUAUUGGGUUUAAAGGGAGCGUAGAUGGGUUGUUAAGUCAGUUGUGAAAGUUUGCGGCUCAACCGUAAAACUGCAAUUGAUACUGGUGGACUAGAGUACAGUUGAGGUAGGCGGAAUGUGUGGUGUAGCGGUGAAAUGCUUAGAUAUCACGCAGAACCCCGAUUGCGAAGGCAGCUUACUAAACUGUAACUGACAUUGAGGCACGAAAGCGUGGGUAUCAAACAGGAUUAGAUACCCCUGUAGUC
RNAcentral lists this ribosomal RNA (460 nucleotides) under uncultured bacterium. RNAcentral's name for it is "partial 16S ribosomal RNA". It matches the Rfam family "Bacterial small subunit ribosomal RNA", at positions 338 to 795 of the family's 1533-position model. The record is from RNAcentral.